UUGCCUCUCUCGGUCGUAGCAGAGCUGGUUGAAGUUAUCAGAUCUUGCCUUCCUGCAUUGACAGCGAAGCAGAUCGAAGACAAACCUUGCCACUCUCGUUUGUAGUAGAGCUGGUUGAAGAUAGCAGAUCUUGCCUUCCUGCAUUGACAGCGAAGCAGAUCGAAGACAAACCUUGCCACUCUCGUUUGUAGUAGAGCUGGUUGAAGAUAGCAGAUCUUGCCUUCCUGCACUGACAGCGAAGCAGAUCGAAGACAAACCUUGCCUCUCUCGUUUGUAGCAGAGCUGGUUGAAGAUAUCAGAUCUUGCUUUUCUGUAUUUGGCAGCGAAGCAGAUCGAAGAUGGCAGAUUUUACCUCCCUGACAACAGUGGAGUACAUUGAAGCCGAUAAUUCUAUCUCCCUGUAUUUGGCAGUAGAAUAGAUUGAAGAUUGCAGAUCUUGCCUUCCUGUAUUUGGCAGCGAAGCAGAUCAAAGAUAGCAGAUUUUACCUCCCUGACCACAGUGGAGUACAUUGAAGCCAAUAAUUCUAUCUCCCUGUAUUUGGCAGUGGAAUAGAUUGAAGAUUGCAGAUCUUGCUUUCCUGUAUUUGGCAGCGAAGCAGAUCAAAGAUGGUAGAUUUUACCUCCCUGACUACAGUGGAGUACAUUGAAGCCGAUAACUCUAUCUCCCUGUAUUUGGCAGUGGAAUAGAUUGAAGAUCAAGGAUGGCAGAUUUUACCUCCAUGUGACUACAGUGGAGUACAUUGAAGCCGAUAAUUCUAUCUCCCUGUAUUUGGCAGUGGAAUAGAUUGAAGAUUGCAGAUCUUGCCUUCCUGUAUUUGGCAGCGAAGCAGAUCAAAGAUGGCAGAUUUUACCUCCCUGACCACAGUGGAGUACAUUGAAGCCGAUAACUCUAUCUCCCUGUAUCUGGCAGUGGAAUAGAUUGAAGAUUGCAGAUCUUGCCUUCCUGUAUUAGGCAGCGAAGCAGAUCGAAGA
This 972-nucleotide long non-coding RNA is filed under the name Gossypium barbadense (sea-island cotton). RNAcentral describes it as "long non-coding RNA (GBAR_LNC005808)". Lineage: Eukaryota; Viridiplantae; Streptophyta; Magnoliopsida; Malvales; Malvaceae. The record is from RNAcentral.